This 450-nucleotide ribosomal RNA is filed under the name uncultured bacterium. RNAcentral describes it as "partial 16S ribosomal RNA". It matches the Rfam family "Bacterial small subunit ribosomal RNA", at positions 354 to 796 of the family's 1533-position model. The record is from RNAcentral.
GUGGGGAAUAUUGGACAAUGGGCGAAAGCCUGAUCCAGCCAUGCCGCGUGUGUGAAGAAGGUCUUCGGAUUGUAAAGCACUUUAAGUUGGGAGGAAGGGUAGUAACCUAAUACGUUGCUACUUUGACGUUACCGACAGAAUAAGCACCGGCUAACUUCGUGCCAGCAGCCGCGGUAAUACGAAGGGUGCAAGCGUUAAUCGGAAUUACUGGGCGUAAAGCGCGCGUAGGUGGUUCAGUAAGUUGGAAGUGAAAUCCCCGGGCUCAACCUGGGAACUGCGUUCAAAACUGCUGAGCUAGAGUACGGUAGAGGGUGGUGGAAUUUCCUGUGUAGCGGUGAAAUGCGUAGAUAUAGGAAGGAACACCAGUGGCGAAGGCGACCACCUGGACUGAUACUGACACUGAGGUGCGAAAGCGUGGGGAGCAAACAGGAUUAGAUACCCUUGUAGUCC